This 2474-nucleotide long non-coding RNA is filed under the name Trifolium pratense (red clover). RNAcentral describes it as "long non-coding RNA (TPRA_LNC006374)". Lineage: Eukaryota; Viridiplantae; Streptophyta; Magnoliopsida; Fabales; Fabaceae. The record is from RNAcentral.
AAAUGGUCCUUCGCUAUUAAACAAAAUCAUUUUGAUGUCACUGUAAAUUUUGAAGGAAAAAAAAGAAGGUUGAAGCUGUAAAUUUUUGCAAUUAAAUAGAAGUUANNNNNNNNNNNNNNNNNNNNNNNNNNNNNNNNNNNNNUGAUAAGAAAAUGAGAAGAGAGAAAUAUGUGAGAGAGAGUGUGAGAAGAGAGAAAUAGAUGAGAAAUAUAGUAGAUUUGAUGUGUUGAUUGGUUUAACAGAAAAAAGAAAAGAUAUAGAAGAGAGAGAAGUGUGUUUAAUUUUUUAAAAGACCAAAAUAUCCUUGCAUUUUAAUUGAGUUUAUGUGUAAUGCAGGAUUUAGAUUGCUGUAAAUGAAGUUAAACUCUUCUUUGUAAAAAUGUCACGGUAUAAGCAAUGGAAGGGCAUUAUAAAUAAUAUCAUGGGUAAAAAUGCAUUUGUAAAUUAGAUGAAAAGGCAUUAUCCCGAAAUGUCACGAGUAAAAAUGCGUUUGUAAAUUUAUUGACUUAUAAAUAAUAUAUUUUAUUUUAAGCUGAAAAAUUAAAAUUUUAAUUGUUAAUAGAAGAUAAUUAAUGACAACUACAUGAAUAUUUACAAUCUUAUAUAAUUUAAUAAUAAAAAUAUCACUUUGUGAUAAAAACUAACAGUAAAAUUUAUGUAUAAUGUCAUAGAUAUUUUUAGACAACUACAUGAAUAUUUACAAUCUUAUUUUUUUGUAUCAUACUUAUUGUUUAUAUUAUUCUCCACUAAAAGAAUUAUAAAGUUGAUGGAAAAUAAUUUCUCUAUGGAAUAUAUGGAAGAGGCUUUGAGGUUUCGUAAAAAGCCUUUGAGGUAGAUAUGAAUUACAGGAAAACAAUGUUUGUGGAUAGAAAUAUAGACUACAAUAUAUAGGUUCUCGUUGAAAUUAAAAAAAAGUAGUCUCCCUAUUAAUAUAUAACUAAAAAUAUAGAUUCCGUAAAAAUUAUAAAAUAAAUAGGUCUUUAUAUUAAUAUAUGCAGAAGUAUAAAUAUAUGUUAUCGUAGAAAUUACAAUAAAAAAAAUAGGCCCCUAUUGAUGUAUGUUGUAAUUUUUUUAUGCUUGUCCAACUCAAAUUAGGGUUAUAUUUCACUUUGAUUUCUUGGAAAACACUACCCCUCGAGUGAUUUCUAUGUAAUUGUUUUUGUUUUGGGCUUUUAGGCCUCCUUAAUAUAUAUAAAAAAAUUGUCAUCAUAUUAAUAUGAAUAAAAAUAUAGAUUUCAUAAAAAUUACAAAAAAAAAAUAUGGGUCUUCGUAUUAAUAGAUAUAUAAGUUUUCGUAGAAAUUACAAAAAAAUAGUCCUUCAUAUUAACAUGAGUAGAAAUACAAACUAUAAUAUAUAUUACAAAAAUAGAAUAGAUCCUGUAAUAAUGUAUGAAUCUAUAGAUUUCUUUAGUGUCAUAAUUAAUGCAUAUUAAUUUAUUUUGUUGGGUGAGAAUGCAUAUUUUUGUAUACUUGUUAUUUUCUUUUGUAAAAAAACUAUACUAUGUGUUUUUCUUUGUGUUCCCAAUUUUGUGUUAGUGCAAUAUUAAUACGCUAGCUAUAUAUUAUUUCUAUAUUUGACUUGAGCAAUUGAGUGACAAUGAAACUUUUUUUUAUCGAAUGUGGCAGUGAAACUUCUAAAUAAUAUUACACGUACAAAACAAAAAUUUACACACAUAAACUUUAAUUUUGUCUGUUUAAUUACCUUUUUCCGUUUUUUUCUUCAUGUUUUCCUUAUAUAAACNNNNNNNNNNNNNNNNNNNNNNNNNNNNNNNAAACACUUCUUUCUUCAUGUUUCCCUUAUAUAAACUUUUUGGACAAAAUAUCCAAAUUUCCAUGUUACAACUAUAAGAUCAACCAAAAGUGACAAACACACAAAACUAAUUAAAUGAUAAGUCAAAUUUCAAUCGACUCUAUAUCAUAUUCAUUUGAACAAUAAAAAUUGUAUUUCAGGUAAACAUUUCAAAACUCUAAUUAAUUCAAAUUUAAUUACAAUAAAAUCAAUAGUUUAUGAAUCUUGAAACUGCAAAUAUAAUAUUGAAAGUACCAAAGAUAAACCUUGAAUCAUCUGCAAAAAAGAAAAAAGUUGGAUCAAAUAAAUCACAUUAAAGUUUUGAAAGAAAUUAACAAUAAAGAUUAACUAACCAAAUAGAAAAGAAUAAAGGAGUCUGAGAAAUUAUAUCGCCUUUUCUCCUCUUUGGUGGUCUUCUCUAAAUAAAUAAAAAAUAAUACGGAAAAUAAUUCUAACCUAAUAAAAAAUAAAUCAAUUUUCUCCUCAAUUGCAAUUAUCUUGAUCUUAAUUGAGUCAUUUCACAUUCUUUCUACAUAUCUGCAAAUGAAAUAUAACAGAUGAUUAAAUCCAAUAUAAAACAUGAUAUUGACAAAAUCAUAAUAAAAAUAAAAAAAUCGGGAGUAAAUACUGAUAAAAAAAAAUACAUCAUAUAUUUGCAAGAAAAAUAAGAUAUGAGAAUAAAAAA